RNAcentral lists this ribosomal RNA (497 nucleotides) under uncultured bacterium. RNAcentral describes it as "partial 16S ribosomal RNA". It matches the Rfam family "Bacterial small subunit ribosomal RNA", at positions 28 to 507 of the family's 1533-position model. The record is from RNAcentral.
GAUGAACGCUGGCGGCGUGCCUAAUACAUGCAAGUCGAGCGAACAGACGAGGAGCUUGCUCCUCUGACGUUAGCGGCGGACGGGUGAGUAACACGUGGAUAACCUACCUAUAAGACUGGGAUAACUUCGGGAAACCGGAGCUAAUACCGGAUAAUAUAUUGAACCGCAUGGUUCAAUAGUGAAGGACGGUUUUGCUGUCACUUAUAGAUGGAUCCGCGCCGCAUUAGCUAGUUGGUAAGGUAACGGCUUACCAAGGCAACGAUGCGUAGCCGACCUGAGAGGGUGAUCGGCCACACUGGAACUGAGACACGGUCCAGACUCCUACGGGAGGCAGCAGUAGGGAAUCGUCCGCAAUGGGCGAAAGCCUGACGGAGCAACGCCGCGUGAGUGAUGAAGGUCUUCGGAUCGUAAAACUCUGUUAUUAGGGAAGAACAAAUGUGUAAGUAACUAUGCACGUCUUGACGGUACCUAAUCAGAAAGCCACGGCUAACUACGUG